Molecule: ribosomal RNA, 497 nt
Filed under: uncultured bacterium
Lineage: Bacteria
Description: partial 16S ribosomal RNA
Rfam family: Bacterial small subunit ribosomal RNA
Source: RNAcentral
GAUGAACGCUGGCGGCGUGCCUAAUACAUGCAAGUCGAGCGAACAGACGAGGAGCUUGCUCCUCUGACGUUAGCGGCGGACGGGUGAGUAACACGUGGAUAACCUACCUAUAAGACUGGGAUAACUUCGGGAAACCGGAGCUAAUACCGGAUAAUAUAUUGAACCGCAUGGUUCAAUAGUGAAAGACGGUUUUGCUGUCACUUAUAGAUGGAUCCGCGCCGCAUUAGCUAGUUGGUAAGGUAACGGCUUACCAAGGCAACGAUGCGUAGCCGACCUGAGAGGGUGAUCGGCCACACUGGAACUGAGACACGGUCUAGACUCCUACGGGAGGCAGCAGUAGGGAAUCUUCCGCAAUGGGCGAAAGCCUGACGGAGCAACGCCGCGUGAGUGAUGAAGGUCUUCGGAUCGUAAAACUCUGUUAUUAGGGAAGAACAAAUGUGUAAGUAACUAUGCACGUCUUGACGGUACCUAAUCAGAAAGCCACGGCUAACUACGUG